RNAcentral lists this small RNA (739 nucleotides) under Pongo abelii (Sumatran orangutan). RNAcentral's name for it is "processed transcript". Lineage: Eukaryota; Metazoa; Chordata; Mammalia; Primates; Hominidae. The record is from RNAcentral.
ACAGCCUCCCAAGGCCCCCAUGGGGCCUUGGGCGGGGGCAUCAGCCAUGACCGGACGUUUAGAGUUCUGGUUCCGUCUCUCAUUUGGGGCGUCGGAUAAAAAUCCAGGCUUCCGGACCCAGCCCACACUGCAUCAGAGUCAUCAGGAAACUCUGGUUGUGGCAGGCGCCACAAGUGAGCUGGUUUGACCACUGACUUAGUUCAACACCGCCAUUUCGCUUGUAGAAAAGUGAACCCCGAGAAGGCACAGAACUUACCUGAAGUCGCCAGGCAGUUAGGCAGCAGGGCCGAGGUCAGAACCCGGGCUGUCUUCAGCUGCCUCUUCCCCAGCGUAUCUUGAUUCAGUCAGGAAUACCGCAGCAAGGGCUGCCCAGGAGCUGCAGGACAAGCACCAGGAGCCCCUCCGGGUAGCUACUACCCUGGACCCCCCAGUAGUGGAGGGCAGUAUGGUAGUGGGCUACCCCCUGGUGGUGGUUAUGGGGGUCCUGCCCCUGGAGGGCCUUAUGGACCACCAGCUGGUGGAGGGCCCUAUGGACACCCCAAUCCUGGGAUGUUCCCCUCUGGAACUCCAGGAGGACCAUAUGGCGGUGCAGCUCCAGGGGGCCCCUAUGGUCAGCCACCUCCAAGUUCCUACGGUGCCCAGCAGCCUGGGCUUUAUGGACAGGGUGGCGCCCCUCCCAAUGUGGAUCCUGAGGCCUACUCCUGGUUCCAGUCGGUGGACUCAGAUCACAGUGGCUAUA